Phrynosoma platyrhinos (Desert horned lizard) is the source of this 72-nucleotide non-coding RNA. NCBI's taxonomy places the organism in Eukaryota, Metazoa, Chordata, Lepidosauria, Squamata, Phrynosomatidae. The record is from the annotation of a GenBank genome assembly.
GCCAGUAUAGCAUAGUGGUUUGUGCACUGGAUUAUGACUCUGGAGAUCAGGGUUUGAGUCCCAACUCAGCCA